Molecule: ribosomal RNA, 576 nt
Filed under: Aspergillus oryzae
Lineage: Eukaryota; Fungi; Ascomycota; Eurotiomycetes; Eurotiales; Aspergillaceae
Description: partial 18S ribosomal RNA
Rfam family: 5.8S ribosomal RNA (bases 215-368)
Source: RNAcentral
UUCCGUAGGGUGAACCUGCGGAAGGAUCAUUACCGAGUGUAGGGUUCCUAGCGAGCCCAACCUCCCACCCGUGUUUACUGUACCUUAGUUGCUUCGGCGGGCCCGCCAUUCAUGGCCGCCGGGGGCUCUCAGCCCCGGGCCCGCGCCCGCCGGAGACACCACGAACUCUGUCUGAUCUAGUGAAGUCUGAGUUGAUUGUAUCGCAAUCAGUUAAAACUUUCAACAAUGGAUCUCUUGGUUCCGGCAUCGAUGAAGAACGCAGCGAAAUGCGAUAACUAGUGUGAAUUGCAGAAUUCCGUGAAUCAUCGAGUCUUUGAACGCACAUUGCGCCCCCUGGUAUUCCGGGGGGCAUGCCUGUCCGAGCGUCAUUGCUGCCCAUCAAGCACGGCUUGUGUGUUGGGUCGUCGUCCCCUCUCCGGGGGGGACGGGCCCCAAAGGCAGCGGCGGCACCGCGUCCGAUCCUCGAGCGUAUGGGGCUUUGUCACCCGCUCUGUAGGCCCGGCCGGCGCUUGCCGAACGCAAAUCAAUCUUUUCCAGGUUGACCUCGGAUCAGGUAGGGAUACCCGCUGAACUUAA